ACUCCCAGGCUAGUGCAACAGAAAAUAACCGCCGGUAAGAACCGGUAAGGGUGAAAAGGUGAGGUAAGAGCUCACCGCGUCUCUGGUAACAGAGGCGGCGGCUGUAAACCCCAUCCGAAGCAAGACCGAACAGGAAUGAUACGGCGGCCCGUCGUGUUCCGGGUAGGUUGCUGGAGCCUGGCGGUAACGUCAGGCCUAGAUAGAUGAUUGUCUGAUACAGAACCCGGCUUACAGUGCUGCUCAUUGG
This 247-nucleotide RNase P RNA is filed under the name Lachnospiraceae bacterium. RNAcentral describes it as "partial RNase P RNA component class A". It matches the Rfam family "Bacterial RNase P class A", at positions 97 to 367 of the family's 367-position model. Rfam says of the family: Ribonuclease P (RNase P) is a ubiquitous endoribonuclease, found in archaea, bacteria and eukarya as well as chloroplasts and mitochondria. Its best characterised activity is the generation of mature 5'-ends of tRNAs by cleaving the 5'-leader elements of precursor-tRNAs. The record is from RNAcentral. Lineage: Bacteria; Bacillati; Bacillota; Clostridia; Lachnospirales; Lachnospiraceae.